Molecule: ribosomal RNA, 253 nt
Filed under: uncultured bacterium
Lineage: Bacteria
Description: partial 16S ribosomal RNA
Rfam family: Bacterial small subunit ribosomal RNA
Source: RNAcentral
UACGUAGGUGGCAAGCGUUGUCCGGAAUUAUUGGGCGUAAAGAGCUCGUAGGCGGUUUGUCGCGUCGACUGUGAAAACCUACAGCUUAACUGUGGGCUUGCAGUCGAUACGGGCAGACUUGAGUUCGGUAGGGGAGACUGGAAUUCCUGGUGUAGCGGUGAAAUGCGCAGAUAUCAGGAGGAACACCGGUGGCGAAGGCGGGUCUCUGGGCCGAUACUGACGCUGAGGAGCGAAAGCGUGGGGAGCGAACAGG